Molecule: ribosomal RNA, 496 nt
Filed under: uncultured bacterium
Lineage: Bacteria
Description: partial 16S ribosomal RNA
Rfam family: Bacterial small subunit ribosomal RNA
Source: RNAcentral
AUGAACGCUGGCGGCGUGCCUAAUACAUGCAAGUCGAGCGAACAGAUGAGGAGCUUGCUCCUCUGACGUUAGCGGCGGACGGGUGAGUAACACGUGGAUAACCUACCUAUAAGACUGGGAUAACUUCGGGAAACCGGAGCUAAUACCGGAUAAUAUAUUGAACCGCAUGGUUCAAUAGUGAAAGACGGUUUUGCUGUCACUUAUAGAUGGAUCCGCGCCGCAUUAGCUAGUUGGUAAGGUAACGGCUUACCAAGGCAACGAUGCGUAGCCGACCUGAGAGGGUGAGCGGCCACACUGGAACUGAGACACGGUCCAGACUCCUACGGGAGGCAGCAGUAGGGAAUCUUCCGCAAUGGGCGAAAGCCUGACGGAGCAACGCCGCGUGAGUGAUGAAGGUCUUCGGAUCGUAAAACUCUGUUAUUAGGGAAGAACAAAUGUGUAAGUAACUAUGCACGUCUUGACGGUACCUAAUCAGAAAGCCACGGCUAACUACGUG